This is a non-coding RNA of Prochlorococcus marinus, 78 nucleotides long. Lineage: Bacteria; Bacillati; Cyanobacteriota; Cyanophyceae; Synechococcales; Prochlorococcaceae. The record is from Rfam.
AUCAGAAACUCCUCACACACUAAUUUCUGAUAAUCAGGCACCCUUAUCUCUAAAUUAGGGUGUUUUUUAUUGACAUAA